Molecule: long non-coding RNA, 1703 nt
Organism: Cydia pomonella (codling moth)
Lineage: Eukaryota; Metazoa; Arthropoda; Insecta; Lepidoptera; Tortricidae
Exons: 2
Source: RefSeq, a predicted model, not a curated record
UUUUCGUUUAUAGCAUGUAAGGCUUUUAAGGAACAUUUGUGUCAAGGUCCAGUUCUGAUGAUAGGUUCUACGAGAAACUGAAGGAGCUUCUCAUAUUGUAUAGGAUAGGCAUACAUAUAGUCAUUUUAGGAUUUUCAUCAAUAUUACAAGCAUUUUUACUCAAUAAAGUGACAUUUGUUGAAGUAGAAUUGCUGAUGAAGAACGGAACACCUCAACGACUUCCAGAUUCUUUAUUUUUAUUACUCUUCUUCCUUUUUCAUUAUUCUUAGAACAGGUAUUUCUACGAAGUGAACCGAACUGCUACUAUUAAAAGUAGCUAGGUAGGUAGGUUAAAUAGGUUAAAACUGUAAGGAUUAUUAUGUAUAAGUAGUUUCUUUUAAUUAAACAUAGGUAAGUAAUUCUAUUUAAGUAUAAGUAUCUUUAAAAAAAACAUCAAUCGACUCUUAUCUGUCACUAGUUCCAGUUUCAGAGUAUAAAAUCCGGGUACACAGCCACGGCUAGCCGGGUAGCCAGACAGUUCGAAUACGGAUACGGACAAGUUAUUGUGAAUAAAAAAAUCUUAUCGUCUUGCAAAAGUUAAUGUCAUAAAUGUAUAGGUUUCGAAUACAUGAAUAUAAAGUGAAAAUGCUGGUAAAAGUAUUAGUUUUUAUCAUUAACCAUUUUAUAUCCCAACAAAACUGUUACCCUUACAAAAAUAAAAUGCAAUAAUCAAAGCUUGUACUAUGGGUACUAGGCGACGUUAAACAUACUUAUUUAGAUAAAUAUAUAUUUACGUAUAUACAUAGAAAACACGCAAGCCUUAGGAACAAAUAUCUGUAUUCAUCACACAAAGAAAUGCCCUUACGCGAUUCAAACUCGGGACCAUCGGCUUCAUAGGCAGGGUCACUACCCACUAGGCCAAACCGGUCGGCAAAAGGUAAAGAUAAUUAGGUAAAGACAAUGAAUAAUUAAACGUAUUAUAAAUUGACACCAAUAUCCAUCAAAUAGUAUAACUAGGUAUGCUAAGAGUGGGCUUCAGGCCAUUACGUCGCACCUUUAGAAUUAAAUUAAUUUGACUCAAAAAGUACGACUACUUUAUAUAAUAUAUAAAUGUUACUACCAAACUACAUAUUAUGUAGUUUGGUAGAACAGUAAGAACUCACUAUAUGUGUCUCUUUUUCAUGCGGUGAAAUCCCCCCCACCCGGAAAGGAUAGCGACGCCCAUUUUAUCGACUCUCGAGUCGACUCCAAUCUGAUACUAAUAAAACCAUACGGAAAUAAUGAGGAUGCAUCGACAUAAGAAGAAUCGAACAUGGGCAAGAUAAAGUUCAAGAAAAAAGCAAAUAUAAUGUGUACUUGUGUGUAGUCAAAGAAAGUUGAAAAAUAAAGCAUAAUUAAUGGCCAUAGAAUACAGAACCGAUACACGAACAUUAAGACUAUUAAAAAUAGACAUAUAGGUUGAUCGUACUACUCGUACUAAUGUAUAUCUUUUGUUCAAUUAUAUUAUUGCAUUAAAGUUAGAUUCUCUAGAUAUAUAUUAUUCAUAGGUUCUGUAUUCUAUACGAAUUGUUUCAGUGUAAUUAUUGUACUAAAUACCGUUGACCGCCUGUCAACAGUAUUUAUUUCUACAUUACUAUCACAGAAGAUUUUAGGCCCUACCGUACAGUUUUUGAAUUAGUAUUUACUAUGGACAAAUAUAGCGAAAUGUGAGUUUUUACCUAAAA